UACGUAGGGGGCAAGCGUUGUCCGGAUUCAUUGGGCGUAAAGAGCUCGUAGGCGGCUUGUUGCGUCGGCUGUGAAAUCCCGGGGCUUAACUCCGGGCGUGCAGCCGAUACGGGCAGGCUAGAGUCCGGUAGGGGAGACUGGAAUUCCUGGUGUAGCGGUGAAAUGCGCAGAUAUCAGGAGGAACACCGGUGGCGAAGGCGGGUCUCUGGGCCGGUACUGACGCUAAGGAGCGAAAGCGUGGGGAGCGAACAGG
Molecule: ribosomal RNA, 253 nt
Filed under: uncultured bacterium
Lineage: Bacteria
Description: partial 16S ribosomal RNA
Rfam family: Bacterial small subunit ribosomal RNA
Source: RNAcentral